AAGGAGAAGCCGAAGGAACCCGAUCAAGCCUGGUCGUUUUCUCCGCUGGAGACGAUGAGUGGAUCACAUGAGGAGGAGCCACACAGACCCAGGACCCCGUGAAGUCUCAGGAGGGACCGGACACAUAUGUGUGAACAGUCGCGUGUCUGUCGGUCUCCCUUUCUCUCCUAGUCCUGGGCUUGCUUUCAGCUGGGCUUGCAGUCUGAUCUUAGCCGUUAUGAUGCCCCAGAUCUGACUAUUCCCUGCUAAUGGAGCAAAACCUGUAAGAUCAGGAGCUGGUUUAUGAAAGGUCAGACAGUCUUCUGCACUCCAAAGCCCAAUAGGGAGUGAAGAAAUCCCCAGAACAGUGGAUCUGAGCAGACAAGUAAAGGUUUGGAUCAAUCUGAUGCUCUUGGUGAGAGUUUACUGAACAAGAAGCUGUUGGAAGAUUGUCGGAUUUCCACUGAAUUCAGGAAGUUCUUUGGUGUACGUAUUACUUUAUUUUGCCACUUAUUUUAUCUCUUUGCUCCUGCUGUUCAAAGUACAUUUAGCUUUGUGUUUACUUGUUGCAAAUCUUCUAGAAAACAAGUUUAUUGGCAAGAAAUAAUGAAUUUUAAAUUCAUAUUGGAAAAUCUUAAAGGAAUGCAAGUUAAAAAAAUCACUAAAGAGAAUAUUGCACUAAAAAUAUUAUUCUAAGGGUUACCUCCUCUAAUUAAAGAAGAAAAUAUCAUAUGUUCAGCAUUUAAUUUUUGAAAAAACU
Molecule: long non-coding RNA, 739 nt
Filed under: Chrysemys picta bellii (western painted turtle)
Lineage: Eukaryota; Metazoa; Chordata; Testudines; Emydidae
Description: lncRNA (ENSCPBG00000008207.1)
Source: RNAcentral